GAAAGUGUCAGUGAUUAAUUUGUAUUCUCUCAUGAUUGUGUCAAACGAGUAUUUAGACUUUGUGUCCUUGACAAGAACAUGCCUCUCUGCGUGCCAGUGAUUCCUUCCUGUGGGUCAGAGAUUGUCCCUUGGCCUGGGUCCUGCCCUGCUUUCCGUUCCUGCAGUAAACGUUUGGUCCGCCCUCAUCCUACAGCUGUAGCGUCACACCAGAAUGAGGAGGAUAUUAUUACAUCCGUUUGUUCACGUAAUGCCACACUGAGACAUCUGCGGGAAUAAAUGCGAUUGGCCUGGUCAGAGGAAUUGCACAUGAUAGGAUGAGUAUGCUAAGGUAAGCUUUUACUCAGGCAUCUCCUUGGACAAAUUGUCUUGAUGUGAUUUGGAAAAGGGAAACAGUAUGUUAAUAUACUUACCCAGUUAGAUGCAGCCCCGAGCAUCUCGGUUGCAAUCCUGGCUAGCUGCCCGUUUUCAACUUUUAUUGCCCAGAGCUGGUCUCUGGGUGCAGACGCGGCUCUGAAGGGCUCGAUUGAGGCACGCAGAUAGUCUGGAAACCUCUCUUGAAGGCUCCUAUAAACUAUGGACUGUGAUUUAUAUGAAUAGAUUCAGCUCUGGAUAAACUAUACUGAAGAGUAUCCAAGUUUCUAGACUUUAUUCCCUGUCCCAGGUUUCACAUGAGAAAUAUGACAAUUUAUAUAACCUGCUCCAAUUCAAUCCCAGUCUAUAUGAAAGCUGCACACAUCUGUUAAAUAGCCAUUUUCUUCUUGCUCUACAACAUAUGGAUAUGAUUUUUUUUUAGACAUAACCUUCUAAUUUUGAAAAUUUGACUAAAGAAAUAUGUCUUGUAGCCAUCCAUCCUUUCAUUGUGCAUUCCUUCCUUGGGGUGUUUCCAGGUUCCAUAAAACAAAAACAAAAAAAGUAUUAAUAUUCUCAAAAGAAAAAUCUGAGAGGUCAUGACACCUUUCUAAUGCAACAGCCAGGGUAGCCGUAGACAAAACCCUGGUUUUGUUUUUACCUAAUUAACAUCUGGUGCUGAGACAUCAGCAGCAUCUCCCUCAGUUCAAUCAUAUGAGGUCAUUUAAAUUAUUUAUUUUUUUAUUGGAUUCUUUUCUCAAAAUUUCCCACAGCUACUGUAAAAAUCAUAUCAGAACAAUGAAACAUAAGUCCCGGUCACAGUGCAUAAUAAUAAUAAUAAUAAUAAUAAUAAUAAUAAUAAUAAUAAUAAUAAUAAUAACUUCAUGAAGCCUGAUGGUACAGUACGUUACCACAUGCAUGUUCCAGCAUUGUUGUGCAUACACAGAAUCACACACAGACACGACAGUCACAGCAGUUUUCUAACAGUGUUUCAUCUUUAGUUCAUGGCACAGUUCACCACUAUAAAGUUCAUCAUACGUACGGUAAUAAGCUACACUUAGGACAGGGCUCUCCUUUAAGACACCUGUUACGCCAAAGACUGGUGACUAACAAAACAACGCUUGACAAAACUGGCGCAUUUCCCACCGUCAUGCAUGCAGACGUGAUGCAUUAACAGUCUGAGCUCGGGAAAAAAGUCUUUCUUGGCACUGGGACUCAUACGGUAGCUUAUGGAAAAUGUCAGCUUAUAUCGGCACGGUUAUUUUCAGCACACAGCAGACUACAUGUAUACGCGGUUAAAGAUACUAAUGAGUUUCUCCGUUGCUUCAUAAGACAAAACUGGAUAAAGAGGUAUUAAGAGUAGAUACAGUAAUGACCUUAGAACAGACAGGAAUUUUUAAUUCCUCCCCCCCGUAGCAGCUACAGAUAAGUCCAGCUGGUUAUGUGCAAUGAGGAAAAUUAAGAGCAAUAACAGUUUCGAGCCUUCACAUCUUUUGUUUUUUUGCUUUGAAGCACAGGGGAGGAACGUGAUUAUGCAUUAUUGUAUGUGUCGAAGGUUUCGCUUGUGUUACCUGUGUGCGUCAGAGUACAGUCAGAGCCAUUUAAAAAAA
This is a non-coding RNA of Poecilia reticulata (guppy), 1958 nucleotides long. The record is from RefSeq and is a predicted model, not a curated record. NCBI's taxonomy places the organism in Eukaryota, Metazoa, Chordata, Actinopteri, Cyprinodontiformes, Poeciliidae.